This 496-nucleotide ribosomal RNA is filed under the name uncultured bacterium. Its description in RNAcentral is "partial 16S ribosomal RNA". It matches the Rfam family "Bacterial small subunit ribosomal RNA", at positions 28 to 506 of the family's 1533-position model. The record is from RNAcentral.
GAUGAACGCUGGCGGCGUGCCUAAUACAUGCAAGUCGAGCGAACAGACGAGGAGCUUGCUCCUCUGACGUUAGCGGCGGACGGGUGAGUAACACGUGGAUAACCUACCUAUAAGACUGGGAUAACUUCGGGAAACCGGAGCUAAUACCGGAUAAUAUAUUGAACCGCAUGGUUCAAUAGUGAAAGACGGUUUUGCUGUCACUUAUAGAUGGAUCCGCGCCGCAUUAGCUAGUUGGUAAGGUAACGGCUUACCAAGGCAACGAUGCGUAGCCGACCUGAGAGGGUGAUCGGCCACACUGGAACUGAGACACGGUCCAGACUCCUACGGGAGGCAGCAGUAGGGAAUCUUCCGCAAUGGGCGAAAGCUUGACGGAGCAACGCCGCGUGAGUGAUGAAGGUCUGCGGAUCGUAAAACUCUGUUAUUAGGGAAGAACAAAUGUGUAAGUAACGAUGCACGUCUUGACGGUACCUAAUCAGAAAGCCACGGCUAACUACGU